RNAcentral lists this ribosomal RNA (909 nucleotides) under [Leptosphaeria] nodorum f. sp. hordei. RNAcentral's name for it is "LSU rRNA". It matches the Rfam family "Eukaryotic large subunit ribosomal RNA", at positions 36 to 964 of the family's 3401-position model. Lineage: Eukaryota; Fungi; Ascomycota; Dothideomycetes; Pleosporales; Phaeosphaeriaceae. The record is from RNAcentral.
UAGCAUAUCAAUAAGCGGAGGAAAAGAAACCAACAGGGAUUGCCCUAGUAACGGCGAGUGAAGCGGCAACAGCUCAAAUUUGAAAUCUGGCUCUUUCAGAGUCCGAGUUGUAAUUUGCAGAGGGCGCUUUGGCGUUGGGAGCGGUCCAAGUUCUUUGGAACAGGACGUCACAGAGGGUGAGAAUCCCGUACGUGGUCGCUAUCCUUCGCCGUGUAAAGCCCCUUCGACGAGUCGAGUUGUUUGGGAAUGCAGCUCUAAAUGGGAGGUAAAUUUCUUCUAAAGCUAAAUACUGGCCAGAGACCGAUAGCGCACAAGUAGAGUGAUCGAAAGAUGAAAAGCACUUUGGAAAGAGAGUCAAAUAGCACGUGAAAUUGUUGAAAGGGAAGCGCUUGCAGCCAGACUUGCCUGUAGUUGCUUAUCUGGACCUUUGUCCAGUGCACUCUUCUGCGGGCAGGCCAGCAUCAGUUUGGGCGGUUGGAUAAAGGUCUCUGUCAUGUACCUCCUUUCGGGGAGGCCUUAUAGGGGAGACGACAUGCAACCAGCCUGGACUGAGGUCCGCGCAUCUGCUAGGAUGCUGGCGUAAUGGCUGUAAGCGGCCCGUCUUGAAACACGGACCAAGGAGUCUAACAUCUAUGCGAGUGUUUGGGUGUCAAGCCCAGACGCGUAAUGAAAGUGAACGGAGGUGGGAACCUUUUAGGUGCACCAUCGACCGAUCCUGAUGUCUUCGGAAGGAUUUGAGUAAGAGCAUAGCUGUUGGGACCCGAAAGAUGGUGAACUAUGCUUGAAUAGGGUGAAGCCAGAGGAAACUCUGGUGGAGGCUCGCAGCGGUUCUGACGUGCAAAUCGAUCGUCAAAUUUGGGCAUAGGGGCGAAAGACUAAUCGAACUAUCUAGUAGCUGGUUCCUGCCGA